AAAUCGCGCUGCUCGCCCCGAGAUACCUUUUCCAUUAGUCUAGUGGUGAGGUUCUGUAUCCAUUAUGUAGUUAUUUUUUGGUGUUAAGGGAGGUUUUAUUCACAAUGUAAUUCAGUAAAGAUAAAGUACUUAGGAGCAAAAAUGUAGAGCACUAAUUUAUACUAAGAGGUGAUAAGUCCCUUUAGAAUAAAAAUGGCAGAGUCAUCGCCCGGUUGAGAACACAGUGCCAGAUGUCCUAAAAUUCGCAAAACCAACUGAAGAGUUCCUUUGAGGAUAACGAGGAACAGGAAUUUAAUGUUAACUACGUAUAACACACCAACACGUAAUAUGCGGGAUCUAAAACACACAAGGCAGGCCCAUUCCGUAGAAUUAUGGCACAAAUUAAGACCCUUUUGUUGCUAUAUUUCUAUCAAAUAAUACCGAAGGAGAAAUGAACAUCUAAGAAAUAAAAAACUCAUAAGAAAUUCAGGUCCUCAAAAUCUGAAUAGAAGACGCGGUAACCAUCAAACGACAUGACCUUAGAGGCGCCCCGUUAGUAAGGCUUAAGGCCUGGCCCAAUGAUAGAGCAGAUCAAUGAUAGACAAGGCCUAAUAGAGCAAGCGCAAAGAGCGCGAUAGAGCUGCCCAAAUUUUGACGUGCCCCAGUCAUUGACAAUGAAUUCGUUAAUUAAUUCACAACAUCUCUAUAUAAUGACCACGGCGAUGGAACCAGACUUCUCUAGUAAAAUCUAGUAUUUUACGUCCCAAAUUUGUAUCAAGAUCUUUAUUUGUAAGUGGCGUCACCAAUCACGGUUUUUUGCAACAGCAGAGUAUUAGGGAGGUCUUUUUAUCUUGCACCGAAUAAACUACAGCAUAGUCGAGUACAGGCCGGAAACUUGCAGUAUACCUACGCCAAAAAUAAAUAGAGUAACAUCAUUUUUUUUAUUUUAAAUAAAAACUAGUAAUUGUAAUGCUUAGCUUUCAUAACUUAAAAUUCAUUUUAAUAUUGUAUUUAAUGACAAUAAUAUAAUAUUCAUUAGGAUUAUUAAUCUCUAACACAUUUAUAUUAUCUUAAUUACCAAAAUACUGUAACCAUCGGGAAAAAUAUUUUAUGUAAUAUUUAUGAAAUAUGGGAAGAUAUAUAGUAAGUUUAGAACAAAUUCCGGGCGAUGACAUUCAUUAGAAUUAACUGAAGUUAUUAAACUUAUCAUAGUUUAUAUUUAAAGUUAUAAGCUUUUAUCGCAUUCCGUGUUUGACUAUUUGAAAACAAUACAUACUAUAAAUUAUUAUAUCAGGUUUGACUUAAGUUACAAUAAUACAAUAAUUAUUAGGUUAUUAAUAGUAGUACGUUUAACAUUAUAUAUUCGUAUAUAAUUAAAACGGCUGAGAAAAAGGUAUCUCCAAACAUAGUUAUCUUAACUAUGUUACUAGUAAUAAGACCUACAUAAUAUACCUAAAUAACGCAACAAAUAUUAAUGCAAUCGCAUUGCUUAAAUGUUAUAAGAAUACACUGCAAUAUUUGAUACUUAUAUAUCUCACAUACACAAUUAUAUUAUUAUAGUAAAUAUUCUUUCAUCAAUGGAAUGAGCGAUACAACAAUUUAAUAUAAACACUACUUAUAAUCUUCUAUCGAUAGUCAUUGCACCGGCUUGAAAUUUAAUCUAUCUAACUUCUCAUCACUACAGUUAUAUCAGUGUGUAACAAUCUAUAAUACGUAAUUUAUUUUUUGUUGUUAAAAUUACCACUAGAAUCUAUUUAUUUUACUCUUUUUUAAAUAUUUUUAUUUUCGUAAUUAUCACUUUUUUAAACUUUCUGAUUGGAAUUUACGCAAAUUCAUAAAUACGUAAUGGUAUUAUUGUAAAAUGUUUCAGUUAUUAAACCAAUUUUAAUUUAGAUCUUUUUCUGUUUUAUUAAUAUAUUUUAAUACAGUAACCUUAUUCCCAAAUCUUUGAUAUUAUUAUUUUGUUUGGAAUUCCAACUAGGAAAAAUACAUAGUUACAUUUAAAUAUUUUUUCAUAAUUUUAUAAAACCUUGAAAGAACAUUUAUCUAGAAUAUUCUGUAAAUGUAUGAGAUAGCAUAAUAGUAGUAUUACACACUUAUGAAUAAUAAUGAGGCGAAUACUGUACGAAACACAAAUUAAUUACUACUCUUUUAUUAUGAGCAGUCCAUUCAAAUCAUGUAAACUGAAUAAGUUCUAAAUAGAAAUUAACGUUUUUCUUAAAAACUGCCCCCUUUUUACCUUGCAAGUUUAUUUAUUUUUUUACUUACCUACAUUAUUGAUACCCUUGUGUGAUAAGUAUUGAUGUGUUAUGUAGUUUGGCAAUAGAUUUUAAUUAAUAAGUAUUUUUCUUAUUAAUUAACUUUUCACCCCUGCUAGUUAACCCUGACAUAGACAAAGACACGACAAAAAUACCUACUGAGAGUGCAUGUGGUAUCUUUUGUUAAAAUUAAAUAUUGACAAUGGCACGUCAGCAAUGACAAGAACAUCGUCAAUAUUGGAUUGUCCAUUUUCUUAAUAUUUAGUUAUUUUGAGGACUUGCAUACAUAUUAAUUCCUGAAUAUCCAAAGCACAACUACAUCAAUAACAAGGAUCUUAGCUAUUUUUUAAUUUUUAAAAUUAAUAUAUAAUAGUUUAUCACUUAUAAAUUGUCUGCUAAAUCUUGUAAUUGAUUAGUUACUGCAGACCAAAUAAAUAACUCUGCAUCUAAUGUGGAGGGAAUACUGGUUGAAUCAUUUAAAUUUAUAGCCUUCAAAACAAAUGAAAUAAAGUAAUUGCUUGUAAUUAAUAAGUCCUCAAAACCGGAUUGCAGACCAGUAUGGCAGCAUCCGAAAUCAUUGGUUGUUUAGUCACGAUACUAUAUACUUAUAUUACAACUAUAUAUAAAGUUUUAACUUAAAUGCUUGGUCGUAUCAAGCCAUUAGUGAUAGAUGGUUAGAUAGAGUAGGAUAGGUAUUAGGGCAGAAAUAAGGGUGUCAAAAACUGUUACAAGGACCUAAGAGACCUGACAUGGACGUCCUCUGUUGAUGAAUGGGACUGGUGAAAACUUCACCAUGGAGAAUAAGUCCCUUUUUUAUUUAUUCAAUAAAUACAAACUUUGAGCAAUUUAAUUAAAGCUUGACACAGAGUACCUUACUAUGCUUGGGCAUUAUAUUGUUAAGUUUCUUUGCAUUUAGCAUUAAACAUUUGUUGUUACUAUGUUUAUAAUUUGUGCAAUAUUAAUUCAUUGCCACUAAUGAAUUUAACAAAUAACGGCUAAUCUUGUGUGAAUAUACUUAGUUUUUGUGUCGAAGUAAAUAAAUAGAAUCUCAUCUAAAUAUUAAUCUUCAAAGCGUAAAACAAGCUAUUUAGCAAUAUCCAUUAACCAUUGUUUAUUACAUUUGUUUAUGAUUUAAUAAACGUUAGUUUUUUUGUGAAUUAACGUGCCCACCCUUUGCAAACUAACCCCGACGAGGACAUAAAACGACACGACGCAAAUACCUAUUAGUAAAAUAAUGGGUAUUUAAGUUUUUAAAGUUCAGUAUUGUUAAUGGAAUGUCAGCAAUGGCUAGUACUUAGCAAUAUUGGACCAUGAUAUUCAUACAUAAAGUUUUUGUUAGAUAGGUUUUAGGAUAGGAUGAAAUAGAUUUUGGAUUACAAGAAACAAAAUUACAGAAGACGAGGACGUUCAAAUUUUGGCACAGUUAUUGUUAUUUUUUAUUAGAAGAUUUGAGAAUUGUAUUUUUGUGAAACUAACUAAUUACAUUUUGACUUCAUAUAAUUUCUCCACACAUGUUUUGUCACAAAUGUAAUAUUUAUUGUAAUUGUCCAUAAAUUGCACACUGCUUAGUUACUUUUCAUAAGUAAUUUAUCAAUAAAAUGAUUUUGUUUGUGAUUUAGUGUUUGUAAAUUACUUUGUCCACCUUUGUAAUUACAAAUUAAUGUUUAAUUAAUCCCGACAAGGACAAAUGACACGACCAAAAUACCUAUUAGUAAAAUAGUGGGUAUUUAAGUUUUAAUGUUUAAUAUUGUUAAUGGUAAGCCAGCAAUGGCGAUAACAUCAGCCAUAUUAGACUCCUGGUUGUAAUGACACUAAACAAAAAUAAUUAUUAAAAAAAUAAUAAUAUUUGUCAAUAUUAUGUGUUUAAAAUAUUGUAACUUUAUAAUAACUAAAUUUUUAUGCAAUGUAAAAUUUAAAGUUAAACCAAAUUGUAAUAUUUUUCUAAAUAAUUAAAACUGUUAGGUCGUUACAACUAUUUAAACACUUCUACUGAGUUUCUUGCCGGUUCUUCUCAGUAGUGCGUAGGUUCCGAACCGGUGGUAGAGUCAACUAAAAACUUUAUCCGGCAAGUUAAAUCCGGAAAAAUAAUUUGAACAUUUUCAAAAUUUUUACCAAAACAUCACUAUCACACUGGGGAACAGAAAUUGUAAUGAUACGUAAUUGGCAUCUAGAGUAUUGUAAGGUUUAAAUUGUAAUUUAACAUUAUUUAUUGAUGUACUUACUUAUUAUUAUUGUUACUGUAAUGACAAUUUACUGGUCAAAAUGCUGCUAUGUUUUAAGAGCUGUUUAAAAAUAAUUAAUUUAAUCAUGGUUAUUUUUGUUGUAUCAUAUUUUUUUAAAGGUACCUAAGUACAGAAUCAUAAAAAUAUCUUUAAGUGGUGAAUUCAAGUUUGUUUGUUACCCAAAUUAUAAAUAGUUCUAAUAACUGAAAUUCGAUUGUAUUAAUGUCAACUCGUAAUAAUGAAACUGGAUUGGAAUUUUGAUUAAAGCUACUAUUUUUAGGACAAUGCAAAAUUGUUGUAAGUUUAUACCUGUGUUAGAUAAAUUCAUUAUAAAUCGUCAAGUUCCCCAGUGACA
Molecule: long non-coding RNA, 4814 nt
Organism: Ostrinia furnacalis (Asian corn borer)
Lineage: Eukaryota; Metazoa; Arthropoda; Insecta; Lepidoptera; Crambidae
Exons: 4
Source: RefSeq, a predicted model, not a curated record